CCUACGGGAGGCAGCAGUGGGGAAUAUUGCACAAUGGGGGAAACCCUGAUGCAGCCAUGCCGCGUGUGUGAAGAAGGCCUUCGGGUUGUAAAGCACUUUCAGUUGUGAGGAAAGUUUAGUAGUUAAUACCUGCUAGAUGUGACGUUAGCAACAGAAGAAGCACCGGCUAACUCCGUGCCAGCAGCCGCGGUAAUACGGAGGGUGCGAGCGUUAAUCGGAAUUACUGGGCGUAAAGCGCACGCAGGCGGUCUGUUAAGCUAGAUGUGAAAGCCCCGCGCUCAACGUGGGAGGGUCAUUUAGAACUGGCAGACUAGAGUCUUGGAGAGGGGAGUGGAAUUCCAGGUGUAGCGGUGAAAUGCGUAGAGAUCUGGAGGAACAUCAAUGGCGAAGGCAACUCCCUGGCCAAAGACUGACGCUCAUGUGCGAAAGUGUGGGUAGCGAACAGGAUUAGAUACCCUGGUAGUCCACACCGUAAACGCUGUCUACUAGCUGUUUGUGAAUUUAAUUCGUGAGUAGCGAAGCUAACGCGAUAAGUAGACCGCCUGGGGAGUACGGCCGCAAGGUUAAAACUUAAAGGAAUUGACGGA
RNAcentral lists this ribosomal RNA (587 nucleotides) under uncultured bacterium. Its description in RNAcentral is "bacterial SSU rRNA". It matches the Rfam family "Bacterial small subunit ribosomal RNA", at positions 338 to 917 of the family's 1533-position model. The record is from RNAcentral.